GCCACGUGGUAAUAUAUGACCUUUUAUUUUGAGAAAUCUCGAAAUUUCUUCAACUUCUUCAAGAGGAUUUCAGUACUAUCUACUCUUUUCUACUCUUUAGUUUUUACUCUUUCGUCUUUGCAUCGCCGCGCAUUUCAAUUCUCAGAAUCUGGUGUUUUCAGUGGUAGCAUAUACAUGAGAGGAUCAGCUUCUCCGCGUUCAUUGGCGCGAAGUAUUCAGAAACAAGCAUACCAAAUCCAACGAGCAUGGGGUGGUAUUGCUCCUACUUUGGAGCCCAAAAAGAAUGGCAAUGAAGAGAGUUGUAAGGCAAGGAGAACGGUGUCAGAUGAGAAAGGUGCUGACCCUAUUGUAGCCUUCAGCAGGCCGCCUCCGCUUCCGCCCAUUUUAGGACCGCUUGUUGCCCUCUCUUUUCUGGAUACGUUGUCGAAACAGGACAACAACGACGACUGAGAUUUAUUUCAGGGCAAACUGCUUGGCCCUUGCUCGGAUUCCAAGUUUGAGGUAUCUUUAUCAUUGUCAUUUGAUGAUGAGUGUUUAUUGAAAAAUCUUGCAAUGAUGUGCAGAAAGCUUAUCCCGUAUCCAAGUGUUCGAGCAACAAUUCUCCAUAGGGUGAUGUAGAAUGUUAGAACUGGGUUCACCACCGGAGCUAAGCAUAGAUUGUAUAUAUUCAACACUGCUUUGAGUAUGAUGUGUGGACUCUUUAGGAACCCUAAAUGUGUCACAUAUGUGUAAAAGAUUACAAAGAGCUUUGACCUUCUUCCCCUGGAUAAUAUAGGGGAAAGUUGAAUCCUCAAGGCGACAGUUGCUGGAGAUGAGAUCUUCUAGCCCCUUCCUGUCGCCUUCAUUGAUGCACCUGUAAAAUUUCUUCACAACAUCUGACAAGGAAAGAAUCUCAAAGCUGGACUCCGAGUUCGCUGCUACUGCUGGAGGUGUGAUCUGGGGCCUCCACCGGUGGCUGAUGACAUAUUUUCCUGCAUUUCUUGUUCCAAAAAUAGGUUCAGGGACAACUUCCUUUCCUCUGGGUAUUUGUAGGUUUCUCCUGUAGAUUGGUGAUCUUACAUUGGUUAGGGCAGUUAGGUUGAAGCGACAACGAUAAGGUAUGUUUUGGCAGGGAAAAACAGCGGCGAAGGCCAUUGUUUGUUACAAAUUAAGGGGGUUGCACAAGAGAAAUGUUCUUUCUUUCUGGUAGUGGGAAAUGUAUAAUGGCAGGGAAGAGGAAGGCAUCAAUAAUAUGUCUUCUGCCUUAAUAUUGGAAAGUAAAAGCUAAAAAAUUUAUAUGGUAUAUGUAUGAUAGAGUCAGAAGAGAAAUGUUCUUUGUUUCUGGCACAAGGAACUGUAAAAUGGCAGAGGGAGGAAGGCAUCAAUAAUAUAUUUUCUGCCUUAUAAUGUAAGGUAGGUAUAGGAUUUCAUGCCAUUGUUGGAUGACUCUUUCUUAUUAUACAGGGCUUAAAUUC
This is an RNA transcript of Beta vulgaris subsp. vulgaris (sugar beet), 1454 nucleotides long. RefSeq lists it as uncharacterized. The record is from RefSeq and is a predicted model, not a curated record. NCBI's taxonomy places the organism in Eukaryota, Viridiplantae, Streptophyta, Magnoliopsida, Caryophyllales, Amaranthaceae. The transcript has 4 exons.